This 449-nucleotide ribosomal RNA is filed under the name uncultured bacterium. RNAcentral describes it as "partial 16S ribosomal RNA". It matches the Rfam family "Bacterial small subunit ribosomal RNA", at positions 29 to 523 of the family's 1533-position model. The record is from RNAcentral.
AACGAACGCUGGCGGCAUGCCUAACACAUGCAAGUCGAACGAGAUCUUCGGGUCUAGUGGCGCACGGGUGCGUAACGCGUGGGAAUCUGCCCUUUGGUUCGGAAUAACAGUUGGAAACGACUGCUAAUACCGGAUGAUGACGAAAGUCCAAAGAUUUAUCGCCAGAGGAUGAGCCCGCGUAGGAUUAGCUAGUUGGUGUGGUAAAGGCGCACCAAGGCGACGAUCCUUAGCCGGUCUGAGAGGAUGAUCAGCCACACUGGGACUGAGACACGGCCCAGACUCCUACGGGAGGCAGCAGUGGGGAAUAUUGGACAAUGGGCGAAAGCCUGAUCCAGCAAUGCCGCGGGAGUGAUGAAGGCCUUAGGGUUGUAAAGCUCUUUUACCCGGGAUGAUAAUGACAGUACCGGGAGAAUAAGCUCCGGCUAACUCCGUGCCAGCCGCCGCGGUAA